Non-coding RNA from Fusarium sp. DS 682, 73 nucleotides. The record is from the annotation of a GenBank genome assembly. Lineage: Eukaryota; Fungi; Ascomycota; Sordariomycetes; Hypocreales; Nectriaceae.
GCCCUUGUGGCGUAAUGGCUAACGCGUCUGACUUCUAAUCAGAAGAUUCCCGGUUCGAGCCCGGGCUAGGGCU